CACACACUUCCUGCCGGCGGUACCAAACCCAGGCCUAGGCACGAAACGAAUGGCCUUUGACAACGCCGGCGACGUCCCAGCCUUGGUCACCUGAUCUCCAGUUGUCCGCUUCUGCUCCAACUCUCGUCUCAGCUCCUCCACCGCCGGAGAACGAGAUAUUGGAGGGGAGGCCGAAGACAGUGGAGGAGUAUCUUGAGUGAAAGUUGAAGUCAGAACAUAGCCGCGGCCAAAUCGUCCACCUCUACCGCCCCCACCACCGCGCUGCAAUGACGGAGAUGGAGAUGAUGAUCGCUGGUCUCGGCCAGAAUCUUGCCGGCCACCGCGAGACAUUGUGUAAAACGGUCACAACAAGCAGAGAAACAGCAAAAGAAAAACCGAAGAAAGCAACCGAGAAUUCUGAGAGAGAAAAAUACGGCAAUCAGGGAGCAGAGAGUGUCCGAAUGGGCAUGAGAGAGAGAGGACGUACAGGGACAAGAGAAGACGGG
RNAcentral lists this unclassified non-coding RNA (485 nucleotides) under Hevea brasiliensis (rubber tree). Lineage: Eukaryota; Viridiplantae; Streptophyta; Magnoliopsida; Malpighiales; Euphorbiaceae. The record is from RNAcentral.